Molecule: long non-coding RNA, 401 nt
Organism: Oncorhynchus tshawytscha (Chinook salmon)
Lineage: Eukaryota; Metazoa; Chordata; Actinopteri; Salmoniformes; Salmonidae
Source: Ensembl
AGUAACAGUAUUAGGUAGUAACAGUAUUAGGUAUUAACAGUAUUAGGUAUUAACAGUAUUAGGUAUUAACAGUAUUAGGGUAAGUAACAGUAUUAGGUAUUAACAGUAUUAGGGUAAGUAACAGUAUUAGGUAUUAACAGUAUUAGUUAUUAACAGUAUUAGUUAUUAACAGUAUUAGGGUAAAUACCAGUAUUAGGUAUUAACAGUAUUAGGUAUUAACAGUAUUAGGUAUUAACAGUAUUAGGUAGUAACAGUAUUAGGUAUUAACAGUAUUAGUUAUUAACAGUAUUAGUUAUUAACAGUAUUAGGGUAAAUACCAGUAUUAGGUAUUAACAGUAUUAGGUAUUAACAGUAUUAGUUAUUAACAGUAUUAGGUAUUAACAGUAUUAGGGUAAAUAAUA